RNAcentral lists this long non-coding RNA (322 nucleotides) under Elaeis guineensis (African oil palm). Its description in RNAcentral is "long non-coding RNA (EGUI_LNC077088)". The record is from RNAcentral. Lineage: Eukaryota; Viridiplantae; Streptophyta; Magnoliopsida; Arecales; Arecaceae.
GCCCCUGAGGUCUGAGACCUCUGAUCUUGUACCCUUAUUUUGUCGCAAUAUUUUCUUUCUGUUUGUCUUCAUAAUUAUUCAAUCAAUAAAGUCGAAUUUCUUAUUGUGGGUGGCUUCUCCUUCCCCCUCCUCCUUCUUUCUGCUUUUCUCCUUGCAAUGAGUCGUUCCCUGAUGUUUUUACCUUCCGAUGGCAGUGCCCUGCAGAAGCACUCCCCUUGCCCCUGGGGGUCCCACUGAAAUCGACAAUCCAGCGGUUGAAAAAGGAGGUCCUUCACCUGACGAAGAAGUUGAAGAAGAUGGAAGGCAAACUCCGCAAAUCGAG